CCUACGGGGGACAGCAGUGAGGAAUAUUGGUCAAUGGACGCAAGUCUGAACCAGCCAUGCCGCGUGCAGGAAGACGGCUCUAUGAGUUGUAAACUGCUUUUGUACGAGGGUAAACGCAGAUACGCGUAUCUGUCUGAAAGUAUCGUACGAAUAAGGAUCGGCUAACUCCGUGCCAGCAGCCGCGGUAAUACGGAGGAUUCAAGCGUUAUCCGGAUUUAUUGGGUUUAAAGGGUGCGUAGGCGGUCGGAUAAGUUAGAGGUGAAAUCCCGAGGCUCAACUUCGGAAUUGCCUCUGAUACUGUUAGGCUAGAGAGUAGUUGCGGUAGGCGGAAUGUAUGGUGUAGCGGUGAAAUGCUUAGAGAUCAUACAGAACACCGAUUGCGAAGGCAGCUUACCAAGCUACGUCUGACGUUGAGGCACGAAAGCGUGGGGAGCAAACAGGAUUAGAUACCCCUGUAGUC
This 460-nucleotide ribosomal RNA is filed under the name uncultured bacterium. RNAcentral describes it as "partial 16S ribosomal RNA". It matches the Rfam family "Bacterial small subunit ribosomal RNA", at positions 338 to 795 of the family's 1533-position model. The record is from RNAcentral.